This 856-nucleotide ribosomal RNA is filed under the name unidentified archaeon LMA229. RNAcentral's name for it is "bacterial SSU rRNA". It matches the Rfam family "Archaeal small subunit ribosomal RNA", at positions 1 to 864 of the family's 1478-position model. The record is from RNAcentral. Lineage: Archaea; Thermoproteati; Thermoproteota.
UUCCGGUUGAUCCUGGCAGACCUGACUGCUAUCGGAUUGAUACUAAGCCAUGCGAGUCAUUGUAGCAAUACAAGGCAGACGGCUCAGUAACGCGUAGUCAAUCUACCCUAUGGACGGGAAUAACCUCGGGAAACUGAGAAUAAUGCCCGAUAGAACAUUAUGCCUGGAAUGGUUUAUGUUUCAAAUGAUUUAUCGCCAUAGGAUGGGACUGCGGCCUAUCAGUUUGUUGGUGAGGUAAUGGCCCACCAAGACUAUUACAGGUACGGGCUCUGAGAGGAGUAGCCCGGAGAUGGGUACUGAGACACGGACCCAGGCCCUAUGGGGCGCAGCAGGCGAGAAAACUUUGCAAUGUGCGAAAGCACGACAAGGUUAAUCCGAGUGGUUUCUGCUAAAGAAACCUUUUGUCAGUCCUAGAAACACUAACGAAUAAGGGGUGGGCAAGUUCUGGUGUCAGCCGCCGCGGUAAAACCAGCACCUCAAGUGGUCAGGAUGAUUAUUGGGCCUAAAGCAUCCGUAGCUCGUUUUGUAAGUUUUCGGUUAAAUCCAUGCGCUUAACGUAUGGGCUGCCGGGAAUACUGCAUAACUAGGAAGUGGGAGAGGUAGACGGUACUCGGUAGGAAGGGGUAAAAUCCUUUGAUCUAUUGAUGACCACCUGUGGCGAAGGCGGUCUACCAGAACACGUUCGACGGUGAGGGAUGAAAGCUGGGGGAGCAAACCGGAUUAGAUACCCGGGUAGUCCCAGCUGUAAACUAUGCAAACUCAGUGAUGCAUUGGCUUAUGGCCAAUGCAGUGCUGCAGGGAAGCCGUUAAGUUUGCCGCCUGGGAAGUACGUACGCAAGUAUGAAACUUAAAGGAA